UACGUAGGGUGCAAGCGUUAAUCGGAAUUACUGGGCGUAAAGCGUGCGCAGGCGGUUUUGUAAGUCUGUCGUGAAAUCCCCGGGCUCAACCUGGGAAUUGCGAUGGAGACUGCAAGGCUAGAAUCUGGCAGAGGGGGGUAGAAUUCCACGUGUAGCAGUGAAAUGCGUAGAGAUGUGGAGGAACACCGAUGGCGAAGGCAGCCCCCUGGGACAAGAUUGACGCUCAUGCACGAAAGCGUGGGGAGCAAACAGG
RNAcentral lists this ribosomal RNA (253 nucleotides) under uncultured bacterium. Its description in RNAcentral is "partial 16S ribosomal RNA". It matches the Rfam family "Bacterial small subunit ribosomal RNA", at positions 524 to 776 of the family's 1533-position model. The record is from RNAcentral.